This 348-nucleotide unclassified non-coding RNA is filed under the name soil metagenome. RNAcentral describes it as "partial contains 5.8S ribosomal RNA, internal transcribed spacer 2, and large subunit ribosomal RNA". The stretch from base 1 to 120 matches the Rfam family "5.8S ribosomal RNA", at positions 35 to 154 of the family's 154-position model. The record is from RNAcentral.
GAUGAAGAACGUAGCGAAAUGCGAUAAGUAAUGUGAAUUGCAGAAUUCAGUGAAUCAUCGAAUCUUUGAACGCACAUUGCGCCCGCGAGUAUUCUCGCGGGCAUGCCUGUUCGAGCGUCAUUUCAACCCUCAAGCCCCCGGGUUUGGUGUUGGGGAUCGGCUCUGCCCUUCUGGGCGGUGCCGCCCCCGAAAUACAUUGGCGGUCUCGCUGCAGCCUCCAUUGCGUAGUAGCUAACACCUCGCAACUGGAACGCGGCGCGGCCAUGCCGUAAAACCCCAACUUCUGAAUGUUGACCUCGGAUCAGGUAGGAAUACCCGCUGAACUUAAGCAUAUCAAUAAGCGGAGGA